UUUUCAUGCUGCACAAAUAUCAACACAAGUCAAUCAGUUGCCUCAUCAAUCUUUCAACCCGUUUUCUUGCUAACAUAUUAUAGAAAACAGACAUCCAGGAAGAUCCCAAUGAUUUUUUUUUAAUAUAGUUGGCAAUCAAAGAUGAUUUUCAUUUGAAUCAUUAUUUACACAUAAGUAUGUACAGUGGUCAAAGAGGAGCAGGAGGCUGUAGUCUCGCUGUGCGCAUGUGCACCACAGAGGAGGACAAGGGUGGAGGAGGGCGGGGGUAGAAGUAGCUAGAGUUCAUCCUUUCAAACAAAUGUAUGAAUAAAUCUAACAGCGGCUUAUUUCAUUCAUCCAUUCAACAUCACCGGUAUGUGUGCAUAGCUCGGACAUGGAUUUGGCACGCACACACACACGCGCACACACACAAUAAAUAUACACACCCAGUAUAUAAACAAUGCACUGACAGACAGUGUGCACUGGCUGAUCCUCGUGUAAAAGUCUCAUCUGAUCACGUCCAUGGACACAGAGCUACAGCGGAACAGAAAUGCAACACACACGCACGCACAUACACACAAACCACUACAAUCGGAGCCUUUCGUGUCAUUGCCGGGUUUAUAUUUGAGAGUUUCAUUCUUAUGUUUUCGUUUGAGUCAGAAAACAUAAGGCUUUGUCUUUGUUAAAAAUAAACAGAAGUUCUUUAGCACAUCUAUGUGCAUUUUUGGAGACGUGAACAUUUUAAAGACCUUUAUACCCUGCGAGUAUAAAUACUAAAGCCUGUACUUAGAAUCCUGUGCAGCACAUUUAAUCUAUACUAUGGAAAGAAGAGCAACAUGUUUAGACAUUUGAACGGGUAAACCUGGGUUAUUUUAGAUUAGACCUUUGCAUCAGCACAGAUGGUGCAUUGGUCAUUUUCAGUAAUAGAUCUACACUUUCAUUUUUGGUGCCUCAUAUGUGCUGGACUGACUUUAAUCAUGCUGAAAUCAUGUAGUAAACUUGGGAGAUUAUGAUCAUUUUUCACCUCAGUACUAGGACGAAGGAGUCUGUUGGGAUUAUAAGCUACGUCUCCAAAGACACAUCAGAGUUCAAUGACUCAAAAACAAGCAAAAAUCUCAAAUAUAAAAAAAAUGAUGACUACUGAAGAGGCACACAACAGCUGGACACACUCAGUCAUUACAGUACUUGAGUAGAUGGUCAAGGCAUACACACAUCUAGGGCUUUGGUGCAUCACGGGACAAUCAGGAGUGUUUUUUUCCUUCUUCAGUUCGAAAUAGUACGACAGGCACCGAUCUCAC
Long non-coding RNA from Oreochromis aureus, 1277 nucleotides. The record is from Ensembl. Lineage: Eukaryota; Metazoa; Chordata; Actinopteri; Cichliformes; Cichlidae.